Molecule: long non-coding RNA, 281 nt
Filed under: Ananas comosus (pineapple)
Lineage: Eukaryota; Viridiplantae; Streptophyta; Magnoliopsida; Poales; Bromeliaceae
Description: long non-coding RNA (ACOM_LNC029503)
Source: RNAcentral
AGUUUUUUCAGAAAACUUAAGUUUGAAUAAAUAAAAAGGAAACCAAGUCUUCUAAACAUCUUUUAACAAUGAAAACUUCACCACAAAUUAUUUAUAAUCAUACCUGCGUUCUUAAGGGUCUUUGAUCACAAAAACUUCAAUUCUUUUCGUCAAUCUUCAUCUUCUAAUUCUUCGAGACUCCGUCCAAACCUUCACGAAAUUCGCCAACUUAUAAAAUCCUUAACAGUCUUAAGACCUAACCUACCACCCUGGCGAAAACGACUCAGAGCUACUACUACCAA